Molecule: non-coding RNA, 626 nt
Organism: Phalacrocorax carbo (great cormorant)
Lineage: Eukaryota; Metazoa; Chordata; Aves; Suliformes; Phalacrocoracidae
Source: RefSeq, a predicted model, not a curated record
CUUAUAAUGGCCAUGUAAUUUGCCUCUUCUCAACAGCUUUACAGAACUGGUAUUCAUCAUCAACUCAGACUUUUCAGCAUACAACAGAGUGGCAGUGGUGGUACACAGCUCAGGAGCCCACAAUGUCCUUCAGCGAUGGCGAACUGCUAAAAUUUGUCUCCAACAAUCCCAGUGGACCUGAAAGCACAUGUAAAGGGAGACAAAAUUGGAUACAAGUCUCAGAAGGACGGCAUAAGGAUUUAACAAUACCUCUUGGACUUAACUCCAUUGAUGAGGGUAAUGGGAUGAGUGAGGUUUGAAGAUCCAUCUUUGUGCCUGACAAGGAAAUACACUUCUCAUAACUGUAGAAAAGGAGAGAGAUUUAGUUCACUUCUUCCUGCUUCAGUAGCUCAUGGUUAUAGUGCUGAUGGUUCCUGCCCAAAUCCUCACUUGUCAGCUGUCAGGAGGGCUGUCAUGCUAUUUUUCCUAUUUCAUGAUAGACAUUACACCAUUUCCUUACUGUUGUAAUGGAAAUUUUACCCUGUGAUGGUAUGAACAAGUUGCAUAGUUAAAUAUCUGCCAGGCAACUUUCAGAAUUUCUUUAUAAUCCUAUCUCAGUGUUACACUUAUUUAGACCUACUGCAUUA